Molecule: long non-coding RNA, 250 nt
Organism: Acanthochromis polyacanthus (spiny chromis)
Lineage: Eukaryota; Metazoa; Chordata; Actinopteri; Pomacentridae
Exons: 2
Source: RefSeq, a predicted model, not a curated record
AGCCCUAGAGAUAGUAAGAGUUGCGACACUCCCAUAGGGUGCCGUUGUACGCUUUCUUUCGGUCUACUUCCGGGUUGUGGAGGCUUGUUUAGUUCCAAGCACCGCUUCGACAGUGAUAGCCACCGUUCAUUUGCACUGCAGGUCGUUGAGUAUAUGUGGAGUAUCCCGAGAGCCCUCACUGAAGACACGAAGACCCUCAUUGUUUCUCCCAUUGUCAAUAAAACAUACUAUUUCAUUCAUCAAAGCAUAA